CUUAAAAUAAUGUAUUUAAAAUCAAGUGGGUAGUACUCAUAACCAUAUAGUUCCAUUAAUCUCUCAGGGAUAAGUCACAUACUUCCUAUAAGGCAUCAAGGUUUUCUGGAAAGAAUAUUGAAUCUAGAAUUGUUGAAUAAUGAUUCAGAGCUGGGAAGAACUCCAGGAACCAUUCUCCAGCCCUUUAAACAAGUAGGAAACAAAGGCCCAAGGAGGAUCAUUGAAGGCACCUGAAGUCAAUCAUUAAAAUUAAAAACAUUCAACACAAGCCUGAUGAAACAGAUGGAUAGAGAUGAGGCAAAUGACAGGAAGCUGGAGCAUUGAUGGGAUUGGUUUUGGCAAACAGAAGGCUAAUACUGUUUUAGGAAGCAUCAUCCUCCCAUGAGAGACCACACAAGAUGAAGAUAUUCAUAAGACCAAUGGAUGAAGCAAUAGGACUGAUACACUGAAAAGUAACAUUGAAAUGAAACUAUAUUUUUACUCUAUAGUGCAAGGACUUUGGCCAAGCCAAGUUGCUGGGUCAGUUUUGUCCUCUGUAAAAUAUGGAGCUUAGCCUUUUGCAUUAACUCCCAGACAUAGACCUAUGAUCUGAAAAAUGAACUAGUAACUGAAGAAUCAGAGAAAUGGCCAACUUUAUCUCCCCCCACCCAGAUCUUUAAAAUGUUCUCAUGACAUAGUUACAAUAUCUGCCCCUUUUUCUAUGAACUAUAAGACAAAAGCAAUGCAUACUUCACUUCUGACAAACAUGCCAACAUAAUCUAUAAAAAGAGGAUUUACUUUUCCCCAUUUUCCUUAAUUGAGAUAGCAAGGUUCUGUCUUCAAAUUUCCUCUUUUUGCAUGGAUAUCUUCUUUAACAGAGAUCUAAUAUUCACAACUUAACUUGUGUGUUCCACUUGAGGUGAAUCCUCAGAGGAUUUAGCCACUUAUAACAUUAAUAGGCAAACUUGUAAACACAAGCAAUAAGGUAAAAUUUAAUUAAAUCCUUCAGAUUGUUUACUACCAUGUACUGUAGCCUGAAACUAUCCUAGCAAAAUUUUAAAGAUUCAAAAGCUGUUACC
This 1058-nucleotide long non-coding RNA is filed under the name Monodelphis domestica (gray short-tailed opossum). Its description in RNAcentral is "lncRNA (ENSMODG00000050079.1)". Lineage: Eukaryota; Metazoa; Chordata; Mammalia; Didelphimorphia; Didelphidae. The record is from RNAcentral.